RNAcentral lists this non-coding RNA (31 nucleotides) under Mus musculus (house mouse). The record is from RNAcentral. Lineage: Eukaryota; Metazoa; Chordata; Mammalia; Rodentia; Muridae.
UCUCCACGCUUAAUUUUCNGUAAAACCAAGC